UACGGGGGGGGCAAGCGUUGUUCGGAAUUACUGGGCGUAAAGGGCUCGUAGGCGGCCAACUAAGUCAGACGUGAAAUCCCUCGGCUUAACCGGGGAACUGCGUCUGAUACUGGAUGGCUUGAGAUUGGGAGAGGGAUGCGGAAUUCCAGGUGUAGCGGUGAAAUGCGUAGAUAUCUGGAGGAACACCGGUGGCGAAGGCGGCAUCCUGGGGCUUUGCUGACGCUGAUGCGCGAAAGCGUGGGGAGCGAUCCGG
Molecule: ribosomal RNA, 253 nt
Filed under: uncultured bacterium
Lineage: Bacteria
Description: partial 16S ribosomal RNA
Rfam family: Bacterial small subunit ribosomal RNA
Source: RNAcentral